CAUUUCCGCUUGACCGCGUUCGGGGAAAUAGCAUUUUAAAAGAAAAAAAAUGAUGACAAUUUUUAUCACAUCAAACAACAUAUUUAAAGGUUCGUAUUGGCCUUGAAUGAUCAACUUUCUUUUUGGCUUCAAUCAGAACAGACGUAGCAUUUUAGGGGGAUUCAAUUCAAAUUCAAGUACAAUGAAUAUUGUUACAGACUGUUUUUUAUACAUAUAUUCUCGAAACAAAUACUUUUUUCUUAUAGACAUGAUAAUAAUAAUGCAAUAGAAGUUUUGUUAUUUAUUAUGAUUCAAAAAACAUAUCGUGCGAUUUUCGUAGUACAGAACCCCGUACACAGUGAUUAUUUUAUUCACAUUGCUGGUUUGGGAUUUGGCGAAAAGUAUAAUCAACAAAAACUUUAAAUGAAAUUUGUACCAGCCUUAUGUACCUAUUUGUCCGAUUUUUGGGUUCUUUGACAAAAUUCGAAAAAAGGCAAAUUUCCUUGCAAAUUUCUCAAAAACAACAUCUAAUUAUGCGGUUGAAUACAAAUGUUAAUUGAACAAAAAAAAUCUACUACAGUCCAGACUUGAUUAUCCGAAGGCUUCGGAAAAAUUUCACUUCGGAUAAUCGAAACUUCGGAUAAUAGAAUCACGAAAAAAAAUUUGGUUGAUGCCUAAUUUUUUAUUGUCGAGCGUAUGUCCCCUAAACUACGGUAAAGUGAUUUAGAACUUUUAAAUCCAAGGCCAAUAUGGCGGUGUUGAAAUAUUGAAAAAAAGCAUUUUAUUAUUUAAUAGACAAUCAACUAUUCAAAUUUGACUAAAAUGGGGUCGAGUACUCAAAUUUGAUGUUUAAAACAAGUAAAAGAAAAAAACGAAAAAAAAAUUGUUCUUGAUUCGAUUAUUCGAAGUCCCAUACAAACCAUCGGAUAAUCGAACUUCGGAUAAUCGAAACUUCGGAUAAUCGAGGCUUCAGAUAAUCGAGUCUGGACUGUAAUUGGGUCCUAAAAUUAAGCUUAAAUUUGUGAUAUUAUUGUUCACAACGAUAAGGCUUAUUUUUCUGAGUACAAUGACCCUUUGAACGACCGCAAAGGAUUUAAAAUGGAUUUGUAAUUCAAUUUUUAAAAAUUCGCUUCUCGGCCCUUCUUGGCAGAAAAGCUUCUACUUGACAGCUCGUUCCAAGGGGACCAUUGUUGAUCCAUCGGAAAAAUGUUGUCUUGUCAAUAUUUUUUUUUUGCAUAAAAAUGAAAAAAAAACGUUAUCAGAAAUGGUUUUUAAUCAUGUUUCUUACCGUUGUUCAUAAAAAUUGACAAAGCACUUUACUACUCAAUUUACAACAUUUAACCAACAGCAUACCCGAAAAACCCGAAAGACCGAGCCACGUAGCCCAGUGGUAACGCUUCCGCCUCGUAAGCGGUAGAUCGGGGUUCAAAUCCCGGCUCGGACCAACACAACUGGCGACCUAUGGAAUGUUAACAUUAACCUUAACAUGUUAACAUUAAGUUGAGAAUGAAACUGCCACUGAAUCCGCUUUGUAAAUGCCGGCCCCGAUACUCUUCAAGGGUGUUCCCCUCAGGAACUGGGAAAGAUUUACUUUAUACCCGAAAAAGCUGUUUGUUCGGUAAAAUUGAGAAAGAAAAUAACUGUUAGUCAUGGAAAAAGGCUUUAGCGAAAAUGAUGAUUAGGGGAUAUGAAAAUUUAAAUUUAAAUAAACGGCAAUUGGCGUAAGUGUCACUUCGGGGAAAUGGCAUUCGGGAAAAUGGCCGAUUAGGGGAAAUGGCAUUCGGGGAUAUAGCCGAUUAGGGGAAAUGAUAUUCGGGGAAAUGGCAUUCGGGGAUGUGGCUGAUUAGGGGAAGUGGUAUUCGGGGAUGUGACCAAUUAGGGGAAAUGAUUUUCGGGGAAAUGGCAUUCGGGGAAAUGUCAUUCGGGGAAAUGAGCUAGACCCAUUCAAAUUUAACUAAAAUGGGGUCGCUGAACUCGAAUUUUAUGUUUAAAAUAAGAAAAUGAAAGAACACAAAAAAAAUAUUUUUCGUGAUUCUUUUAUCCUAAGUCCCAUACAAAUUUUCGGAUAAUCGAACUUCGGACAAUCGAGGCUUCGGAUAAUCGAGUCUAUACUGUAUCAAGAUAGGAAUUGCAGCAAUCUUAAAAAAAAGAGAGCACACCGGUAUCGUUAUGUAAUCAAAGAAACUGUUUUCCAUAAGGAAUUCGUCGAAUUAUUUUAUAAGUUGAUAAUAUUAAAUGUUUGUGAAUUUGGGAACAUAUUUUUUGAUCGAUUUAGAUAUUUUCAAAUUAUGUCAUGUCAUCACAAUGUCAUUUUUUAGGAAUUGUUUUUCUAUGAAGAUUUACAUAUUAACAAGUUCACUCAUCAUUCAUCACGCGUCUUUCCCUUAUUUUAAAUUUAUAGCCACAAUUUCACUCAUGAGCUAAAUAUUAACUCAAAUUUCAAAUUCCCCUCCCCGCAAAAUGACAUCCAUCGAAGCGCGUUCAGAUUUGUCACAUUUCAAUUUCAUCCCC
This is a long non-coding RNA of Culex pipiens pallens (northern house mosquito), 2490 nucleotides long. RefSeq lists it as uncharacterized. The transcript is spliced from 2 exons. NCBI's taxonomy places the organism in Eukaryota, Metazoa, Arthropoda, Insecta, Diptera, Culicidae. The record is from RefSeq and is a predicted model, not a curated record.